GAUGAAGAACGCAGCGAAAUGCGAUACUUGGUGUGAAUUGCAGAAUCCCGUGAGCCAUCGAGUCUUUGAACGCAAGUUGCGCCUCAAGCCAUUAGGUUGAGGGCACGUCUGCCUGGGCGUCACAUAUCGUUGCCUGAUGCCAGUUUCCUCGUGAUGGGUGACUGUGCAGGGCGAAUGAUGGCUUCCCGUGAGCAUUGUUGCCUCAUGGUUGGUUGAAAAUUGAGUCCUUGGUAGGGAGCGCCGUGAUAGAUGGUGGUUGAGUGACGAACGAGACCCAAUCAUGUGAGACCCCUACCGAAUUUGGCCUUCAUGACCCACAUGCGUCUUUGGAACGCUCAUGACGAGACCUCAGGUCAGGCGGGGCUACCCGCUGAGUUUAAGCAUAUCAAUAAGCGGAGGA
RNAcentral lists this unclassified non-coding RNA (400 nucleotides) under soil metagenome. RNAcentral's name for it is "partial contains 5.8S ribosomal RNA, internal transcribed spacer 2, and large subunit ribosomal RNA". The stretch from base 1 to 122 matches the Rfam family "5.8S ribosomal RNA", at positions 35 to 154 of the family's 154-position model. The record is from RNAcentral.